GGAGAACAUGAGAAUACUGUGAUUAAAAUAUCUUUUGAGUUUUCUAUAUUGGAUUCAAGUAGUUAAAAUUCCAGUAAGAGUAGAUCCAGAAUCAGAGCUUGGUUGGGGGUACAAAAAAAAUUCUGCAAGAGACUCUUAGGUUUAUCUUACUGAUACUGCCGGUUAUCAGUGACGAGUCCUGCUCCCUCACAUGUUGGAACAUUAGAGAAGCAUGCAGAGGCAGGCAUAUAAAGCAGGGUUUAUUUAAAAAGUGGUAACAUAGACUCCUCCUGGGAGGGGGAAGUGGGCCAUAGCUGGUAUCCUGGUAUCCCCAGGAGCGAGGUGUUCUACCCUUUUUGUAUGUCCUAGGCUUCCUUUGUUCUCUUACCCUCUUCCUGCUUAGGUGACUAGGCCCAGGAAUGCUCUGGGGUGGGACGGCCAAAAGGUGGGAAACAGGUGGACCCAAGGGGGAAGGCAGGAUGGAGCAGCCCAGGUCACAUUAAUUAAGGAUCUUACAGCUCCCUGUAGGGAGGGGCAAUUCCUGGGCCAGGUUACCUUACCAACAGGUUGGAGCAGGGGCAGGUUCUUGAUAAGGGUGGAGGAAGGGCUCUGAAGGAAUUUCAAUCUCUCAGGGAACAGUCUCUAACUUCCCAGACUCACUCAAAAUUGGCCUCCUUGAUCCGACCUGACUUGAUUUACCUAUCUAUACUGACUGCCUGUCUAAUUCUGGCUUCAUCAUGUUGAGAGAGUUCUGAGGUUAGUCAUGUUUGCUAAGGGAGCAAGAUAGGAAGCAAUGGUGUGCUUGGGGUAUGUUUUCAGACCUUGUGUUCAUGUGACAGCUAACGUUAAAUCUGGAGCUAUGUGGAUAAAAUGCUGUGCGUAGUAGAUUGAACCAUCUGUAAUUGCUGUUUCUAUAGGUCAAACAAUGGUUGAAUAAUGGCAAUUUCAUGAUUAAAUUUAACAGCAAUCUAUUUUAACAUUUGCAACAGUUCUCUAAGGCAGGACUAUUCUUUCCUGUUUCACAGGAGAGGAUGAUGAGGCACAGAGAGGUUGAGCAACCCACCAAGGUCAAAGCUGGAUAAUGGGGACUUGCAUGCCAGCCCAGGCAGCUGGCAGUCACACUCCCAGCCUCAUGCUCUGGAAAUUCUUCUUGAAACAUCUAUAAAAGGCAGAUUACUUUUGUUUUAAAUCUGAGUGUUUCUAGACUAUUGUAGAAAUACCACAAUAUCUGAAAU
RNAcentral lists this long non-coding RNA (1214 nucleotides) under Marmota monax (woodchuck). Lineage: Eukaryota; Metazoa; Chordata; Mammalia; Rodentia; Sciuridae. The record is from RNAcentral.